Molecule: long non-coding RNA, 245 nt
Organism: Scleropages formosus (Asian bonytongue)
Lineage: Eukaryota; Metazoa; Chordata; Actinopteri; Osteoglossiformes; Osteoglossidae
Exons: 3
Source: RefSeq, a predicted model, not a curated record
GGCGCGCAGGUAUAACUUAUCCCAGCUUGUGGUUAGCUGCGUGCUGCAAGAACUAAAUAAUUUGUUUAAUAUAAGGAUUCGCAACCCUCCGAAGAGGCACAAGAAUUGUUUUUAACUGGCUGCACUUUAUGGGGGAGAGGGGACCAUGGCCUGGGCUCCUGCCCCAUCACAACCAUGAGAUGGGAGGCAAGAGUGUAAAUACCUGUGGUGCUCAUACAGUAUAUAGUUGUUGGAGUUGGGAGCAC